Molecule: RNA transcript, 4389 nt
Organism: Osmerus eperlanus (European smelt)
Lineage: Eukaryota; Metazoa; Chordata; Actinopteri; Osmeriformes; Osmeridae
Gene name: segment polarity protein dishevelled homolog DVL-2-like
Exons: 16
Source: RefSeq, a predicted model, not a curated record
CCCUCCUCCCGACAGCGCUUACAACUUGGGGCCGAAAAGUUUCGGAGAACUUCUGCGUACCUGGGGAUUUCACAGACCUAACAAAGACAGAGCGAAGCCAGAAUUAAAACUGGGGAACCAUAACAAAGCUACAUAUUUUCAAUGGUGGCAGGUUUGGGGGUGUAGUUAGCUUCGUAACUUAUAUUUGCAGCGGUUUCGUAUCGUCCACUCCGUCCUGUUCUUAUCCAGCUGGAUAGUUAGAGGGACAGAAAGGACUGGUGAAAUGGCGGAAACAAAAAUAAUAUACCACAUAGACGAGGAGGAGACGCCGUAUUUGGUGAAGAUACCAAUACAAUCAGAACAGAUAACGCUACAGGAUUUUAAACAGGUUUUGAACAAGCCAAACUACAAGUUCUUCUUUAAAUCUAUGGAUCAGGAUUUCGGGGUGGUGAAGGAGGAGAUUUCUGAUGAUGCUGCAAAACUACCAUGCUUCAACGGGAGAGUUGUGUCAUGGCUGGUGUCCUCAGACAGCCCGCUGGGGGAGCCCCCUCCGGCACCGGUGGAAGUCCGGCCUUCCCCCUCCCCCCCGCCUCCCCCCCUGCCUCCCCCUCUGCCUCCUGCCCCAGCAGAGAGGACAGGGGGCAUCGGAGACUCCAGACCGCCCUCAUUCCACCCUAACGUGGCCGGCAGUGUGGAGCAGCUGGACGAGCGUACGGACACAGAGUCCGUUCUGUCCUUCAGGAGGGAGAGGCCCAGGCGCAGGGAGAGCACAGAGCAGCAUGGCCCCCGGAUGAACGGCCAGAGUCGUCUGGAGCGCCACCUGGCUGGGUACGAGAGCUCGUCCACCGUCAUGAGCAGCGAGCUGGACACAACCAGCUUCUGUGACUCUGACGACGAUACCAUGAGCAGGUUCAGCAGCACCACGGAGCAGAGCGCGGCCUCUCGGCUGAUGAAGAGGCACCGCAGGAGGAGGAAGCAGAGGCCCACCAGGCUGGAGAGGGCCUCGUCCUUCAGCAGUGUGACAGACUCCACUAUGUCACUCAACAUCAUCACAGUCACUCUCAACAUGGAGAAGUACAACUUCCUGGGCAUCAGCAUCGUGGGGCAGAGCAACGAGAGAGGGGACGGGGGCAUCUACAUCGGCUCCAUCAUGAAGGGGGGCGCCGUGGCGGCCGAUGGGCGCAUCGAACCAGGAGACAUGCUGCUGCAGGUGAACGACAUCAACUUUGAGAACAUGAGUAACGAUGAUGCGGUGCGUGUGCUGAGAGACAUCGUACACAAGCCCGGACCCAUCAUCCUGACAGUGGCCAAGUGUUGGGACCCCACUCCUCAGGGCUACUUCACCCUGCCUCGCAACGAGCCCAUCCGGCCCAUAGACCCUGGCGUGUGGGUGAGUCACUCGGUGGGGAUGGCGGGGACCUACGCCCCCUACCCUGGCAGCUCCUCGCUCAGCACCAUCACCUCCAACUCUUCCGUCACCGAAACCGAAAGGUUUGACGACUUCAACCUGUCUCUCCACUCUGACAUGGCGUCUGUGGCCAAGGCCAUGGCCUCUCCAGAGUCUGGCCUGGAGGUGAGGGACAGGAUGUGGCUGAAGAUCACCAUCCCCAACGCCUUCCUGGGCUCAGACGUGGUGGAGUGGCUCUACCAGCACAUCGAGGGUUUCCAGGAUCGCCGCGAGGCGCGUAAAUACGCCAGCAACCUGCUGAAGGCCGGCUUCAUCCGCCACACCGUCAACAAGAUCACCUUCUCAGAGCAGUGCUACUACAUCUUCGGAGACUUCAGCGACUGCGAGAACUAUAUGGCUAACUUGUCCAUGAACGACAACGACGGCUCCAGUGGAGCUUCAGACCAGGACACGCUGGCUCCCCUGCCCAUCUCAGGGGCCUCUCCCUGGCCGCUGAUGCACACCUUCCCCUACCAGUACACCAAUGCCUAUGCCAGCCAGCCCCCCCCUUACCACGAGCUGACCAGCUACAGCUACACCCCUGGGAGCACGGGCAGCCAACACAGUGAAGGGAGCCGGAGCAGUGGCUCUACCCGGAGCGAGGGCGAGCGGCGUCGGAAGGGCAAGUCCCCGGUGGGCGGGGCUGGGGGCGGGGCUGACUCUCGCUCCGGCAGCGGCAGCGAAUCCGAGUAUUCCACACGGAGCAGCAGGAGGAGGGAGCACAGCUCGGCCCCGCCCAGCGAGCACAGCCUCCACAGUCAGCGCUCACUUCCCCGGCCCCCACCGCCCCACCUCCAGUUCCCCCAGGGCCUCCCCCUCUCCUACAAUCCCAUGAUGGUCAUGAUGGUCCCCCAACACCCACACAUGCAUCAUCACGCCAUGCCCGGUCUCGGGCCCCCACACCCCCAGCUCCCCCCUGGGCCCUCCCUCCCAGGCCUGUCCCCUGCCUCCACGCCAGGGGGGCCUCCGGGGGCCCCCCCCACUCGGGAGCUGGGCUCCGUGCCCCCGGAGCUCACGGCCUCCCGCCAGUCCUUCCACCUGGCCAUGGGGAACCCCAGCGAGUUCUUUGUGGACGUCAUGUAGGAGACGGAGCGCGUGGCUGUGCAGAGCGUGUGGAGGCGGAGUCAGGAGGCGUGUGUGGAGGCGGAGUCAGGAGGAGUGUGUGGAGGCGGAGUCAGGAGGCGUGUGUGUAGGCGGAGUCAGGAGGCGUGUGUGGAGGCGGAGUUAGGAGGCGUGUGUGGAGGCGGAGUCAGUAGACGUGUGUGGAGGCGGAGUUAGGAGGCGCGUGUGGAGGCGGAGUCAGGAGGCGCGUGUGUGGAGGCGGAGUUAGGAGGCGUGUGUGGAGGGGGUGGAGAUGGACCGCAGCACGGGCCAACAGGAUCCCAGGGUAUCACGGAACUUUAAGCCACACCUGUCCUCACCUUCACCUGGUUUAAACAUCUCCUGGCAGGAGGACUUGGUCUUCCUCUGGACAAUCCCCUAUGUCUUGUGAGACAAGCUGGAAUUGAUGAUGUAACGUUACUUUUAACCCGAAUAUAUGACUAUUAGCAUUAUUGUUGGUGGUUUGAUAUUGUGUGUGUGAUUUCACCAUUAUCCCCAAAAUCAUUUGAAUGGAAGGAAUCAACACAGAUUUGAAGGUUUUGUUUAAUGUCAUAGUUUUUUAUUUGUCAAACGACGUACCACUGGACACGGUACAUCUGUAGUUUAACAGAGACGACUAUGAGGUGUGUAACCGUUGGAACUUGGUACAGUGAACAUGUGAAUGGAUGUCUAGACGUUCCUACGACAGCACCACUGUGGUCCUCAGGGAAGACGAUGAGAGUUUAAAGGACGUGAGGAGGUGAACGGCUAACGACAGCACUAACCACCUGAAGAUGUGAACGAGAUUACAUUUUUUAUCUGAAUGUAUCAAAAGUAUCUUUUUUUUCUCCAACUGCAACAAAAUAAUUAUGUCAUCACACCUGACUGCUCUGACAGGGAAAAGGGUAAAUAAUCCUUUUCUUUAGUAUUUAAAGGUACAGUAGGUAAGAUUUCUUUCAGGAAGAAAUACACGUUUUGUCCCCUCUAAACAUGAUGUGAAAGCUAAUGAGGCAGUCUGAGAGUUGUUUAACAACACAGGCCGCUCAGUGUGAGUGGAAUGUACGUUUUGCUCCUUGGCUUCAUUUGUGAAACCACAGUCAAACUCCAGCUGGAGGAAAGCAUGGAACUUCAGACAUGAAUUGGGAGCACAGUUUCUCAUUUGAAUUUAAUAUUUUUGUUACCUAUUGCAGCUUUAAAAGAACUCAAUCAUGUUCGAUUUGUUCCAAAUUCAGAGUCCCAUUGCUCCAUGGUUGCAAUGUCAGUGUGUCAUGUUUAUGAAUAUCUGAGCUGGAGAUAUGUGUUAUAUUACAGAUAUUAAUGGAGCAUAGCACAUGCACUUAGCAGGCAGAUUGCUGUUGUGUAUAUCUACAUGUUAUUGUAAUGGUACUUAACCAUUUUGUCAUCACAAAGCAUAUAUAUAUAUAUAUAUGUGUGUGUGUGUUAUUUUUUAUGAGUGACUUCACAUUCUUUCUUGUGAUAUAUACAGAUAUACUGCUCAGUAGCAGUAGGAAGGUUUGAGAGGUUUUUAAGGAAGUGUUGGGUUUGUAUCAAGCAUGCACUCAUGUUCAUGUGGCUCCUUUUCUCAGAGAGCUGAGGUUGUCAUGGUUGCACAUCACUGGGUGAACGGGAGAUGGUACAGCAGUAUUUGGAAUAGUGAUUGGAAAGUGUCUAUAAAGUUUUCUAAUAGAGAGCAGUUAUAUAUUUUAAAUUGCUUUAAGCUCUGAUUUCACACUCCAACUCACUUUUUUAUAUAACUGAGUGAUCAUACUUUUUCUUGUAUGUAUUUUUUGUAAUCAUAUUAAGUAAAACAUUAAUGUAGUGCCAUAAUGCAUGUUUGCUUGAUAGUUGUCAAUUUUUUAACAAUACAUUUUUACUAGAUUGAA